GGGUUGUGAGGUUAAGCGACUAAGCGUACACGGUGGAUGCCCUGGCAGUCAGAGGCGAUGAAGGACGUGCUAAUCUGCGAUAAGCGUCGGUGAGGUGAUAUGAACCGUUAUAACCGGCGAUUUCCGAAUGGGGAAACCCAGUGUGUUUCGACACACUAUCAUUAACUGAAUCCAUAGGUUAAUGAGGCGAACCGGGGGAACUGAAACAUCUAAGUACCCCGAGGAAAAGAAAUCAACCGAGAUUCCCCCAGUAGCGGCGAGCGAACGGGGAGGAGCCCAGAGCCUGAAUCAGUGUGUGUGUUAGUGGAAGCGUCUGGAAAGGCGUGCGAUACAGGGUGACAGCCCCGUACACAAAAAUGCACAUAUUGUGAGCUCGAUGAGUAGGGCGGGACACGUGGUAUCCUGUCUGAAUAUGGGGGGACCAUCCUCCAAGGCUAAAUACUCCUGACUGACCGAUAGUGAACCAGUACCGUGAGGGAAAGGCGAAAAGAACCCCGGCGAGGGGAGUGAAAAAGAACCUGAAACCGUGUACGUACAAGCAGUGGGAGCCUCUUAAUGGGGUGACUGCGUACCUUUUGUAUAAUGGGUCAGCGACUUAUAUUCUGUAGCAAGGUUAACCGAAUAGGGGAGCCGAAGGGAAACCGAGUCUUAACUGGGCGUUAAGUUGCAGGGUAUAGACCCGAAACCCGGUGAUCUAGCCAUGGGCAGGUUGAAGGUUGGGUAACACUAACUGGAGGACCGAACCGACUAAUGUUGAAAAAUUAGCGGAUGACUUGUGGCUGGGGGUGAAAGGCCAAUCAAACCGGGAGAUAGCUGGUUCUCCCCGAAAGCUAUUUAGGUAGCGCCUCGUGAAUUCAUCUCCGGGGGUAGAGCACUGUUUCGGCAAGGGGGUCAUCCCGACUUACCAACCCGAUGCAAACUGCGAAUACCGGAGAAUGUUAUCACGGGAGACACACGGCGGGUGCUAACGUCCGUCGUGAAGAGGGAAACAACCCAGACCGCCAGCUAAGGUCCCAAAGUCAUGGUUAAGUGGGAAACGAUGUGGGAAGGCCCAGACAGCCAGGAUGUUGGCUUAGAAGCAGCCAUCAUUUAAAGAAAGCGUAAUAGCUCACUGGUCGAGUCGGCCUGCGCGGAAGAUGUAACGGGGCUAAACCAUGCACCGAAGCUGCGGCAGCGACACUAUGUGUUGUUGGGUAGGGGAGCGUUCUGUAAGCCUGUGAAGGUGGCCUGUGAGGGUUGCUGGAGGUAUCAG
RNAcentral lists this ribosomal RNA (1252 nucleotides) under Escherichia coli. Its description in RNAcentral is "partial 23S ribosomal RNA". It matches the Rfam family "Bacterial large subunit ribosomal RNA", at positions 1 to 1285 of the family's 2925-position model. Lineage: Bacteria; Pseudomonadati; Pseudomonadota; Gammaproteobacteria; Enterobacterales; Enterobacteriaceae. The record is from RNAcentral.